ACAUCCAGAGAAUUUAGCAGAGAUGCUUUAGUGCCUUCGGGAACUCUGAGACAGGUGCUGCAUGGCUGUCGUCAGCUCGUGUUGUGAAAUGUUGGGUUAAGUCCCGNAACGAGCGCAACCCUUAUCCUUUGUGCCAGCACGUAAUGGUGGGAACUCAAAGGAGACUGCCGGUGAUAAACCGGAGGAAGGUGGGGAUGACGUCAAGUCAUCAUGGCCCUUACGAGUAGGGCUACACACGUGCUACAAUGGCGCAUACAAAGAGAAGCGACCUCGCGAGAGCAAGCGGACCUCAUAAAGUGCGUCGUAGUCCGGACUGGAGUCUGCAACUCGACUCCAUGAAGUCGGAAUCGCUAGUAAUCGUAAAUCAGAAUGUUACGGUGAAUACGUUCCCGGGCCUUGUACACACCGCCCGUCACACCAUGGGAGUGGGUUGCAAAAGAAGUAGAUAGCUUAACCUUCGGGAGGGCGUUUACCACUUUGUGAUUCAUGACUGGGGUGAAGUCGUAACAAGGUAAGCGUAGUGCU
This 525-nucleotide ribosomal RNA is filed under the name uncultured bacterium. Its description in RNAcentral is "bacterial SSU rRNA". It matches the Rfam family "Bacterial small subunit ribosomal RNA", at positions 984 to 1509 of the family's 1533-position model. The record is from RNAcentral.